Long non-coding RNA from Chlorocebus sabaeus (green monkey), 2109 nucleotides. RefSeq lists it as uncharacterized. The record is from RefSeq and is a predicted model, not a curated record. Lineage: Eukaryota; Metazoa; Chordata; Mammalia; Primates; Cercopithecidae.
CAUAAUUAAAAAAAUUAAAAGCAAAGGUAAAGCAUUAAUCUGAUAGUGAAGCUUCAGUUUCAGGAGAGAAAGAUAAUAAUUGAGGUUCUAGUUUUCUAAAGCUACACAGGGUGACUGAUAGGGACUGAGUGUGUGAAAGACUGAAAUGCUGUGGCUGGAGAUGCUGAGAAAGGGAAGAGGGGGAUGGACAGAAGGCCGGAGACCCAUGCACGACAUCAUCAGCGAUGACCUACAGAAAGUGAUCUCCCACAGGGAGCCACAGAUUAACUGGAAGUGGAAUUUAUAUCUUUCAUUUAAGGAAUUUCUAAACACAGGAAACUCAAUGCAUUUUACCAUCCAAAAGUGUUCGACAUGCAUAAGGAAAUGGAGCAUGAGGUUAUAUUAUAUAUCAGGCUGGUACAUGUGAAGUCGCCUGUUGACACGGCCUCAAAUGAGACCCUCACUGGUUAUUGACAGACAUGGCCUUUCAAGUGGUUUCACAGCACGCUCAGUUUCAGUCCAGUCUCCAGAGCUGUUGGAGCGACUUUCUAAAACUCGGAUCUAAGAGCCUCACCCAAGAGAACUUUGAAAGCCUCUCAAGUCUACAAAACUACUGCUCUAGGAGUGAUGCAAAUGAAAAUUCAGUUAACGCAUCAUGAACUGUACUAUUUGAGGCAAAGAACCAAAUCAACUCAAAUGCAGCAUCUUAUGACACGUGGCCUCUGCCCCGCUGGUGACGGACACCCAGCAGAACAUCAGUCUCUGUAGCACGAGUUUUAUAUAAUAUAGUUAUCCCCUAGAUCUGCUCUAAAUACAGGCUCUAAUUCCAAAAGGAAGGUGAAAACCAUUAGCCUGCAAACAGUAGUUUAAACAUAGUGUCAUGUACCUGCCACACCCUACAUGAUUUGGCCCAAAUUAUUAACACAAACUCAUUCCCACUUCUUUACUUCUGUCUCCAAACAACUAACCCCUUGAUCACCUGCAACUAUGCAUUCAAUGCUCUUGCCCUGGAAUGUGUUCCCAAACCAUCUUCACCUCAUUUAUUCCUAUUUCUCAAUACUUGUGUCAGUCAAUGCCUUGCCUGUGUUUACAGGAGAGUCCUCAGGUGUGAAAACCAUGAUCAUCUGUUUGCUUACUAUCUUCUCUUCACCACCCAAGGCUGUAGGCUCCUUGGGGCAGAAGCCAUGUCUUCUGUUUGUAUCUGGGGCAGAAGCCACGUCUUCUGUUUGUAUCUGGUUCCUAUUACCAUGCUUAGUGCCUAGUAUCGUGCCUGACACAAAAUAGAUGCUCAGUAAUUGUCUAUUGCUUUAGCCGAAGGAAAGAAAUACAGGCUGGAAUGACUGAUGUUUAGGUACAUUUGUAAGCAGUUGGCAAAACAUGUUCAAAAGGUAUUAACUAAGGGAUUGUUUUUUUAAUUUUCAGAGAGGCAUCUAGUGGUGUGCUGCAGGGAUGUGAUGCUCUAGACUUGGUUAGCAUCUUUAUCAAUGGCAAUGAUAAAAAGGGCAUCCUCAAUGAAUAAGUGGAAGAAUUGAAGGAGAGAAGGAAAGAAGGGAGAGUGAAUAGACAGAACAUUUGCUAAAUGUGUAAUUUUCAUUAUGUGUUGCAUUUCACCUUUCCAACAACUGUACAGGACAGGUGCUGUUCUCCCCAUUUUACGAAGCAGGAAAUUGAAGCUCUGAAAGGGUAAUUGAAUAGGCCCACAAGGACACAGUUGGUAAAGGAAGGGCUUGAAAUUUGAACCCACUCUAUUACAAAUUCUGCAUGCAAAAGUUGAACUGUGAUACUUAUGAGAUGUGUUUUUUGAUAAAACACAAACCCCACUAAAUGUACCCAUGCAAGAUGGAGGAAAUAUCAUGCCUUGUCAACGUGUGUGAAAAAUGGGCAUUAUUACUUUAUAACUAUUUUAAGUCCUACUAACUAGUGUUCUACCCUGCCAUGACCAGGCCACUCCUGGGGCACUGAGUUUAAUACUCAGGGCAUUCAGGAGACUUAUCCAUUCACUGAUCACCUUGGCUGCUUUUGCACCAAAAUAGCAGAGUGGAGUAGUUGCAACAGAGCUGAAAAUAUUUACUAUCUAUCUGGUUCUUUACAGAAAAUGUUUUCUGAGCCCUGAUCUGAACCAAUGUUUUC